This 253-nucleotide ribosomal RNA is filed under the name uncultured bacterium. RNAcentral describes it as "partial 16S ribosomal RNA". It matches the Rfam family "Bacterial small subunit ribosomal RNA", at positions 524 to 776 of the family's 1533-position model. The record is from RNAcentral.
UACAGAGGGUGCAAGCGUUGCUCGGAAUUAUUGGGCGUAAAGCGCGUGUAGGCGGCCCGUUAUGUCGGCUGUGAAAGCCCAUGGCUCAACCAUGGAAGUGCAGCCGAAACUGUCGGGCUAGAAUCCUGGAGAGGGUGGCGGAAUGCCCAGUGUAGAGGUGAAAUUCGUAUAUAUUGGGUAGAACACCGGUGGCGAAGGCGGCCACCUGGACAGCGAUUGACGCUAAGACGCGAAAGCGUGGGGAGCGAACAGG